CAGCGGCCCUAGUGGUGAUCGUUAUUAUUGGGCCUAAAGCGUCCGUAGCCGGUUCGGUAAAUCUCUGGGUAAAUCGUUGGGCUUAACUCUACGAAUUCUGGGGAGACUGCCGAACUUGGGACCGGGAGAGGUCGGAGGUACUCCAGGGGUAGGGGUGAAAUCCUGUAAUCCUUGGGGGACAACCGGUGGCGAAAGCGUCCGACCAGAACGGGUCCGACGGUAAGGGACGAAGCCCUGGGGCGCGAACCGGAUUAGAGACCCGAGUAGUC
RNAcentral lists this ribosomal RNA (269 nucleotides) under uncultured archaeon. RNAcentral's name for it is "partial 16S ribosomal RNA". It matches the Rfam family "Archaeal small subunit ribosomal RNA", at positions 477 to 746 of the family's 1478-position model. The record is from RNAcentral.